RNAcentral lists this long non-coding RNA (892 nucleotides) under Malus domestica (apple). Its description in RNAcentral is "long non-coding RNA (MDOM_LNC007065)". The record is from RNAcentral. Lineage: Eukaryota; Viridiplantae; Streptophyta; Magnoliopsida; Rosales; Rosaceae.
ACUUAACUGUGACCAUACAUCACAAGAGGGGAUGGGUAGAGUAUGGAAAUGGGAGGGCAGACAAUUCACCUCCUUAUCUAACCAGCAUGUGGGUUCAGAAGAAAACGACUUCCCUCGACCCAUCAAUCAUAGAAGGUUGCGUGAGUAAAUUCGCAGCUCAACUUACUUAUAGGUCAAUACAAAGCUAUUCUCUUAUUAAUGUAGAACUCAUUUUCAAUAGGGAGUUUUAACGAAAAGUCCGCGAUACUGUUCACUUUAACGAAAAACCAUAUUUUUAUACUAAAAAGUCAAUCCUUAUACUAUUCACUUUACCCAUUAUUUUGUCCUUAUCGUUAAAACUCAAAGUUUUCAAACUAUUUUCAUUAGUUUUCCAUUUUCAAUAUGUUCACUACGUAUGAAAUGCCCUUUUCAAUUUAUUUAUAAGGCCAUGCAAAGUCUUUUCUCUUAAUUUACUUAUAAGCUCAUGCAAGGUCCAUUUUCUCAUCAAUGUGGAACUCAUUCUCAACACGCCCUCACACACAUGUGAAUGAGUUUGUUGAGAAUAAGUCUCACAUUGAUGAGAUAAUAGAUCUUGCAUAAGCUAAAUCUAUUUAGUUGAUUUGAUUUAUAUUUUUAAUUUUGAUCAAUUUAGUCUUUGUGUUUCACUCAGUUAAUCAAUUUAGGAUAAAUUACACUGUACCACCUCAGGUUUGGGAUCUAUUACAAUCACAUACAACAUCUUCAAAACAUUUCACUUUCAUACCUCACCUACUAUUUUAUUUCAAUAUAAUACCUCCAUUAAUUUUUUCAUCCAUUGAUCCGUUAAGAGCUAACGUGGCUGCCAAAUUUACCUCACGUGACAAAAAAAAUAAUUUUUUAUUCAUUUAAAAAUAAUUAAUUAAAAAAAAAAACC